This 259-nucleotide ribosomal RNA is filed under the name uncultured Glomus. RNAcentral's name for it is "partial 18S ribosomal RNA". It matches the Rfam family "Eukaryotic small subunit ribosomal RNA", at positions 624 to 886 of the family's 1831-position model. Lineage: Eukaryota; Fungi; Glomeromycota; Glomeromycetes; Glomerales; Glomeraceae. The record is from RNAcentral.
AAGCUCGUAGUUGAAUUUCGGGGUUAGUAGGUUGGUCAUGCCUCUGGUAUGUACUGGUCUCACUGAUUCCUCCUUCCUUAUGAACCGUAAUGCCAUUAAUUUGGUGUUGCGGGGAAUUUGGACUGUUACUUUGAGAAAAUUAGAGUGUUUAAAGCAAGCUAACGCUUGAAUACAUUAGCAUGGAAUAAUGAAAUAGGACGUUCGAUCUUAUUUUGUUUGGUUUCUAGGAUUGACGUAAUGAUUAAUAGGGAUAGUUGGG